GGUGGCUCAGUGGUAGAGUGCUUGCCUUGCAUGCGGGAGGCCCUGGGUUCGAUUCCUCAGCACCA
RNAcentral lists this transfer RNA (65 nucleotides) under Dipodomys ordii (Ord's kangaroo rat). It matches the Rfam family "tRNA". From Rfam's summary of the family: Transfer RNA (tRNA) molecules are approximately 80 nucleotides in length. Their secondary structure includes four short double-helical elements and three loops (D, anti-codon, and T loops). Further hydrogen bonds mediate the characteristic L-shaped molecular structure. tRNAs have two regions of fundamental functional importance: the anti-codon, which is responsible for specific mRNA codon recognition, and the 3' end, to which the tRNAs corresponding amino acid is attached (by aminoacyl-tRNA synthetases). tRNAs cope with the degeneracy of the genetic code in two manners: having more than one tRNA (with a specific anti-codon) for a particular amino acid; and 'wobble' base-pairing, i.e. permitting non-standard base-pairing at the 3rd anti-codon position. Lineage: Eukaryota; Metazoa; Chordata; Mammalia; Rodentia; Heteromyidae. The record is from Rfam by way of RNAcentral.